This 468-nucleotide ribosomal RNA is filed under the name uncultured bacterium. RNAcentral's name for it is "partial 16S ribosomal RNA". It matches the Rfam family "Bacterial small subunit ribosomal RNA", at positions 28 to 507 of the family's 1533-position model. The record is from RNAcentral.
AACGAACGCUGGCGGCGGGCUUAACACAUGCAAGUCGAACGGAAAGGCCCUGCGUUUGUGGGGUGCUCGAGUGGCGAACGGGUGAGUAACACGUGAGUAACCUGCCCUUGACUUUGGGAUAACUUCAGGAAACUGGGGCUAAUACCGUAUAGGAGCUCCUGCUGCAUGGUGGGGGUUGGAAAGUUUCGGCGGUUGGGGAUGGACUCGCGGCUUAUCAGCUUGUUGGUGGGGUAGUGGCUUACCAAGGCUUUGACGGGUGGCCGGCCUGAGAGGGUGACCGGCCACAUUGGGACUGAGAUAAGGCGCAGACUCCUACGGGAGGCAGCAGUGGGGAAUCUUGCACAAUGGGCGGAAGCCUGAUGCAGCAACGCCGCGUGCGGGAUGACGGCCUUCGGGUUGUAAAACGCUUUCGCCUGUGACGAAGCGUGAGUGACGGUAAUGGGUAAAGAAGCACCGGCUAACUACGUG